This is a non-coding RNA of Ceratobasidium sp. 370, 86 nucleotides long. The record is from the annotation of a GenBank genome assembly. NCBI's taxonomy places the organism in Eukaryota, Fungi, Basidiomycota, Agaricomycetes, Cantharellales, Ceratobasidiaceae.
GGCACCAUAGUGUAGCGGUUAUCACCUCGGAUUCUGACUUUCCCAUCAGUCUUCCGGUAACCCCAGUUCGAGUCUGGGUGGCGCCU